RNAcentral lists this ribosomal RNA (232 nucleotides) under uncultured Lysobacterales bacterium. RNAcentral's name for it is "uncultured Xanthomonadales bacterium partial 16S ribosomal RNA". It matches the Rfam family "Bacterial small subunit ribosomal RNA", at positions 100 to 334 of the family's 1533-position model. Lineage: Bacteria; Pseudomonadati; Pseudomonadota; Gammaproteobacteria; Lysobacterales. The record is from RNAcentral.
GGGACGGGUGAGGAACACAUGGGAAUCUGCCCAGUCGUGGGGGAUAACGCAGGGAAACUUGCGCUAAUACCGCAUGCGACCGAGAGGUGAAAGUGGGGGACCUUCGGGCCUCACGCGAUUGGAUGAGCCCAUGUCGGAUUAGCUAGUUGGCGGGGUAAAGGCCUACCAAGGCGACGAUCCGUAGCUGGUCUGAGAGGAUGAUCAGCCACACUGGGACUGAGACACGGCCCAG